RNAcentral lists this ribosomal RNA (253 nucleotides) under uncultured bacterium. RNAcentral's name for it is "partial 16S ribosomal RNA". It matches the Rfam family "Bacterial small subunit ribosomal RNA", at positions 524 to 776 of the family's 1533-position model. The record is from RNAcentral.
UACGGGGGGGGCAAGCGUUGUUCGGAAUUACUGGGCGUAAAGGGCUCGUAGGUGGCCAAUUAAGUCAGGCGUGAAAUCCCCAGGCUCAACUUGGGAACUGCGUCUGAUACUGGUUGGCUUGAAUUCGGGAGAGGGAUGCAGAAUUCCAGGUGUAGCGGUGGAAUGCGCAGAUAUCAGGAGGAACACCGAUGGCGAAGGCAGGUCUCUGGGCCACUACUGACGCUGAGAAGCGAAAGCAUGGGGAGCGAACAGG